This is a non-coding RNA of Sciurus carolinensis (gray squirrel), 391 nucleotides long. The record is from the annotation of a RefSeq genome assembly. Lineage: Eukaryota; Metazoa; Chordata; Mammalia; Rodentia; Sciuridae.
CAUGGACAUGAGGGCCCCUUCUCAGCUCCUGGGGCUCCUGCUGCUCUGCCUCCCAGGUGCCAGAAGUGACAUCCAGAUGACACAGUCUCCAGCUCUUCUGUCAGUAUCUCGAGGUGACAGAGUCACCAUCACCUGCAGGGCCAGUGAGGGCAUUAGCGAUUAUUUACACUGGUAUCAGCAGAAACCAGGGCAAGCUCCUAAGCUGCUCAUCUAUCGUGCAGACGUUUUACAAUCUGGUGUCCCAUCACGGUUCAGUGGCAGUGGAUAUGGGACAGAUUUCACUCUCACCAUCAGCAGCCUGGAGCCUGAAGAUGUGACCGAUUAUUAUUGUCAACAAGGUAACAGUUACCCACACACAAGGCACAGACCUGACAAUGUGUCUACUCAUUGA